AUUAUUUAGUUUUAAGUUCGUUUCGGAAAUUUCCUUAUCUAAAUUUUUACUGUGUUGUAUUUUCCACUACUUUAAGUGAAAUCGGUCACAAAAAAUAUAAAUGAGUUUUCCUUCCCAUCCAACAAAUAUUAUUCAAAACUAUUAAAUAUUAUCAACAACAAAAAAAAAGUAGCUGCUAAGAUAAACAUUUCAGUUCGGUGGAUAAUUUAAGAAAAUCGAAGAGUGGCAAAACAAAGCUCGACUAAGGCAUUUCUUUCCUCUACUUCAUCCGAGACCAUUUACAAAAUUUAGAGAUGUCGAUGAAUUUGAAAAUAGGACUUAAUGUGCAGGAACCAAUGUCUCUUAAUAAAUAUAAACCUAUGGAAAAGUUAAAUUUAGAUUCAAAAGAAGAAUUGUACCUUUUUGUAAAAAAUAUGACAACAUAUAACUAAUUAAGAAGAACGAAUUAAUUAGAACGAAUUAAUUAGAAGGAAAAAAGCAAUACUCAGUUUGAUGUCUGCGAUAUGAUCAGCAAGAAAGAAAAAAGUAAUCCUAUUAGAGCACUAAAGGAUUGUAAAUCUCAUUUAUAUGAGUUCAAAACUCAAUACAGAAAUUGCGGAUCAGGAAAAGACUUCUUUAGCUGUAUUAAAAAACGAUGCAAGAUAUCUUACGUAUAAGACUUUUAUUAUACGAUAUCUGGAGACAUUGGAACAAGCGCUUCCUAAAGUCGUAGAAAAAUAUCCUGGACUUAUUCAGUACAUUAAAGCCCAAGACGAGUUUCUUAAAUUAUUCUGCGAACAAGUGCAAAUAUUUUGAAAUUUACACUUAUAUUGUAAUUAAUUCGGAGUACAAGAACAUUUCUCUAUAUAAGGACAUAUAAUAUCAAAUAAAUAUACACUGAUUAUGGUGAAAUCAAUGAAAAAAACUUUAAAUCAAUAUUUAAAAAAACUUUAAAAACAAUUCCUUCAAUAUUCAAAAGCAUCAAAUGUGGGACGAAUAACAAAAAUUUUUGAAAUGGAAUGGAAUCGCUUAACAAAGAAAAAAAAUAUUUAAAAUAUAACAAAAUAUCAUUAAAUAAAAAAUUUAUAAAUGGAUUAGAUUCUAUACUGAUACUGAUUGGAUUUAAUCAAACGGCACAAUCAUAUACAUUUUUUUUGGUUACAUAAACGUUUUGAAACUAAUAAGAACUAAAUGUAGUCUUUUCGGUGAACCCGAUCCCGAAACCGUAUUGCUUAAUAAGGAAUAAGGAAUAAGGAAUACAACAAUAAUGUUCACUAGUUGAAGACUAAAAACUCUAAAUCAAAGCUUAUAAAGCAACCGCAACAAUUCACGAAAAAAUCAGAUAAGGAUCGAAUAAAAAAUUUAAAAACAGAAAAUAGUAAUUAAACGCUAACUUCGAGUUAAAUGAUGGAUAUUAAAGCAAUUUGAAGUAAAAUUCAUGAAGUUUAACAAUAGAAGCUACGUACAUUUGCACGGCAAGGCAUCAACUUGAUGGAAGAACAUACCUGACAAAUUUAGAAUAUUUUAAACUUUUUUUUUGAAUGGAUGCCUUAGUUUUAAAAAUUUACUUUAUUUAAACCAAUACCAUUGGAGAAUGG
Molecule: long non-coding RNA, 1577 nt
Organism: Teleopsis dalmanni
Lineage: Eukaryota; Metazoa; Arthropoda; Insecta; Diptera; Diopsidae
Exons: 8
Source: RefSeq, a predicted model, not a curated record